AUGGAACAAUGUAGGCAAGGGAAGUCGGCAAAACGGAUCCGUAACUUCGGGAAAAGGAUUGGCUCUGAGGACUGGGCUUGGGGGUCCCGGCCCCGAACCCGUCGGCUGUCGACGGAUUGCUCGAGCUGCUCACGCAGCGAGAGCGGGUCGCCACGUGCCGGCCGGGGGACGGACCGGGAAUCGCCCCUUAGGGGGCUUUCCUCGAGCAUGAAACAGUCGACUCAGAACUAGUACGAACAAGGGGAAUCUGACUGUUUAAUUAAAACAAAGCAUUGCGAUGGUCCUCGCGGAUGCUGA
RNAcentral lists this ribosomal RNA (297 nucleotides) under Triticum aestivum (bread wheat). Its description in RNAcentral is "partial small subunit ribosomal RNA". It matches the Rfam family "Eukaryotic large subunit ribosomal RNA", at positions 1890 to 2184 of the family's 3401-position model. The record is from RNAcentral. Lineage: Eukaryota; Viridiplantae; Streptophyta; Magnoliopsida; Poales; Poaceae.